Molecule: ribosomal RNA, 281 nt
Filed under: Shouchella rhizosphaerae
Lineage: Bacteria; Bacillati; Bacillota; Bacilli; Caryophanales; Bacillaceae
Description: partial 16S ribosomal RNA
Rfam family: Bacterial small subunit ribosomal RNA
Source: RNAcentral
GGAUAACUCCGGGAAACCGGAGCUAAUACCGGAUAAUCCCUUUCUCCACCUGGAGAGAGGGUGAAAGAUGGCUUCGGCUAUCACUAGGGGAUGGGCCCGCGGCGCAUUAGCUAGUUGGUAAGGUAACGGCUUACCAAGGCGACGAUGCGUAGCCGACCUGAGAGGGUGAUCGGCCACACUGGGACUGAGACACGGCCCAGACUCCUACGGGAGGCAGCAGUAGGGAAUCUUCCGCAAUGGACGAAAGUCUGACGGAGCAACGCCGCGUGAGUGAGGAAGGC